RNAcentral lists this ribosomal RNA (264 nucleotides) under Triticum aestivum (bread wheat). Its description in RNAcentral is "partial small subunit ribosomal RNA". The record is from RNAcentral. Lineage: Eukaryota; Viridiplantae; Streptophyta; Magnoliopsida; Poales; Poaceae.
AUGGCCAGCAAGUGGGUCAGGCCCGAGGUGUACCCGCUGUUCGCGGCGACGGGCGUCGCCAUCGGCAUCUGCGCCUUCAGCCUCCUCCGCAACAUCACCGGCAACCCAGAAGUCAGGGUCAACAAGAUGGGGAGGGCAGCGGGAGUGCUUGAGAACCAUGAGGAGGGCAGGCGCUACGCCGAGCAUGGCCUCAGAGCCUAUGUGCAGGACAAGACCCCCGAGAUCAUGCCAGGAAUCAACAAGUUCUUCACCAGCCCGAAAUGA